CAUUCGCACGCAUCCACUUGAUACCAUUGUGAAUGUAUCGGCGUGAGGUUUUGUGUGGGGAUGGAGAUUGCAUCGAUGCCUCCAUGCAAAAGCUCAAAGGCAGCAGGGCUGGAUGGGUGCUUGUCACCUCCUUCCAGUACUUGUUGUCUCCUUCUCUCUGUGAUGAAUUCUUUCUUGCAGCGUUACAUUUUUUAGCGGUUCUCCGCACUCUCCCAUUGACUUUCAGCGAUCGAUGUCUCGGCUCGAGCAACGAUGAAGGGCACAGCAAAGUGUGAUAAGCAUUGUGAAUUGCAGGAUUCCGUGAACCAAUAGGGACUUGAACGUAUACUGCGCUUUCGGGAUAUCCCUGAAAGCAUGCUUGCUUCAGUGUCCAUUCCUUGCUUCCCGCAACCCCAGCCCUUGGUGGUAGUGUUGUCUGGGUGUAUUUGUGCGUCAUGGUGCCUUGCUGCCUUUGACGCGCUUCAAGUCAUCGGGGCUUCUUUUGUGGCACACAACUCCUAAGCAUCUCUGAUGUCUUGUGUUGCAGUGUCUUGAAAGAAAUAACCCUUGAUGUAGUAUGGCUCAUACCUCUGAAGACAUG
RNAcentral lists this ribosomal RNA (580 nucleotides) under Naiadinium polonicum. RNAcentral describes it as "eukaryotic LSU rRNA". The stretch from base 218 to 372 matches the Rfam family "5.8S ribosomal RNA". Lineage: Eukaryota; Dinophyceae; Thoracosphaerales; Thoracosphaeraceae. The record is from RNAcentral.